CUAUAAGUGAAUGUAGAACGAUCGGUUCCUUGGACUCGGAAGUUCAAUCGCUCUCAUCGUUCGAUCAAGACUUGCUUAUUAGUGGUGAGAAAUUGGUGAGGAUGAAGCGAGAUGUAAUUAUAAAACCAGGGAAUGGAUGUCCCAGUGGUUAUAAACGUUUGGGUUCAGUAUGUCUACCGAAAUCAAAAAUCCACGGUAAUAAAUAU
RNAcentral lists this unclassified non-coding RNA (206 nucleotides) under Melitaea cinxia (Glanville fritillary). Its description in RNAcentral is "misc RNA ENSMCXG00005021708.1". Lineage: Eukaryota; Metazoa; Arthropoda; Insecta; Lepidoptera; Nymphalidae. The record is from RNAcentral.